RNAcentral lists this long non-coding RNA (238 nucleotides) under Homo sapiens (human). RNAcentral describes it as "PREDICTED lncRNA (TCONS_00201754)". The record is from RNAcentral. Lineage: Eukaryota; Metazoa; Chordata; Mammalia; Primates; Hominidae.
UUGUCAGUGUUUGUGCAAUGAAGGUAUACUCGAAGCUUCCUUCUCUUUGAACCUUGCACGCUUGCCAUUAACACCUUGGUGCCCACCAAUUUCUUGAACAGAAGAGAUAGCCAAUAAUCCUAGUUGUAAAGGAUCGAAGUUUUCAUCCACUAAAUGGUAGUUUCCUGCUCCAAAGAAUACUUGCCUCAUCACCACUUCUAUUCCCAUUCGGGCUGACAGGCCCAAUUUAUCCAGCCAC